UUGAGUACAUUACUUGAUCAACCCAGGCCUUGGUUUCCUCAUUUAUUAAGUAAAGAUAACAACUACCUGGCAGUUUUGUUGCAAAGAGUAAAUGAAAUAACACAGGUGACGUGUGUAGGCUAGCAUCUGAUGCAAGGUAGAUGCAUAAAACAAAGACCGUGCAUACAUGGUUGAUGACUUCACUAAUGUAACUUCCAGUGCUUUUUGUGUGGUUGAGAUUCCAUUUUCAACAGGACAAAGUCUGCUUGCAGAGGAGAAAUACCACGGCAGCUUGAUGUGCAAUUGGGACUUAACCUCACACAAGACCCAAGAGUCCCCACGGAGGGCAUUCUCCAUGUGUUUCAACUUGGUGCAUCAUUCACCAAGCAUGUUCCCUCCGGAAAAGCAGGAGACCGCCCAAGCUUCCUGGGUAUCCUCCUGACUUAUCUAGGACUGAAUCUUGCAGUACUCUGAAGAAAACUGUAAUGUCAAAUACCACACAUUGCUUUCAUUAAUAUGUC
Long non-coding RNA from Symphalangus syndactylus (siamang), 500 nucleotides. RefSeq lists it as uncharacterized. NCBI's taxonomy places the organism in Eukaryota, Metazoa, Chordata, Mammalia, Primates, Hylobatidae. The record is from RefSeq and is a predicted model, not a curated record.